Molecule: unclassified non-coding RNA, 291 nt
Filed under: uncultured fungus
Lineage: Eukaryota; Fungi
Description: partial contains small subunit ribosomal RNA, internal transcribed spacer 1, and 5.8S ribosomal RNA
Rfam family: Eukaryotic small subunit ribosomal RNA (bases 1-73)
Source: RNAcentral
UCAAACUUGGUCAUUUAGAGGAAGUAAAAGUCGUAACAAGGUUUCCGUAGGUGAACCUGCGGAAGGAUCAUUAACAAAUCAUUAUCUAGUGGGGUAUAUAGCUAAUUACAAUUGUAAUUACUUUUUAUCUCACGAUGAGCCCCGCGCAGCGAUGCGUGUGAGUUUACUGGAGAUAUUAUUUUAAAAAUAUAUUCAGUGAAAACAUUUUAUCGUUUGACAUGUUAUAUCGUCACAUAUAUCGAAACUUUUAACAAUGGAUCUCUAGGCUCCCGCAUCGAUGAAGAACGCAGC